This 253-nucleotide ribosomal RNA is filed under the name uncultured bacterium. RNAcentral describes it as "partial 16S ribosomal RNA". It matches the Rfam family "Bacterial small subunit ribosomal RNA", at positions 524 to 776 of the family's 1533-position model. The record is from RNAcentral.
UACGGAGGGUGCAAGCGUUGCUCGGAAUUAUUGGGCGUAAAGGGUGCGUAGGUGGAAUGGUAAGUCAGUGGUGAAAGCCUGCGGCUCAACUGCAGAACUGCCAUUGAUACUGCCAAUCUUGAGUACAUAUGAAGUGGGCGGAAUGUGUCAUGUAGCGGUGAAAUGCUUAGAUAUGACACAGAACACCGAUUGCGAAGGCAGCUCACUAAACUGUAACUGACACUGAGGCACGAAAGCGUGGGGAUCAAACAGG